ACCUCUCAUCCUGUCAGCCCCUUCUUCAUGAUGGGAGGUGCUUGGGGUAAGCCACCGAAGGAGCUGAUAGGGAGAGAUCACAUGCGAAAGAGGGGAAGGGAGGGGAGAGGCAGGGCGGGGAGAACUCUGUUGGAAGGGCUGACCCCAGUAAGGGGGUGGGGUUGGGCGGGGGGGCUGCUUCUGGCCCUGAGCUAAUAAAAACCCCUUCUGGGCUGGGACCCCAGCAGCUCCUACAAUGGCGGCUUUUCUCCUGCUUCUCUCCCUGACCCUCCUGGCCAGCCCAGCCUGGGCUAGCACAGGCCUGAUCUCCAAGGAUCAUCGGCAGGAACCCACCCUCCAGAGCCAGCAGCACCAGCAAGACAGCUCCUUCUUGGAGGGAUCAGCCCAAGUGACCUGUAGCAGCUGUCAGAUCAUCAUGCAGAAACUUAAGGACAUGGUUGGGAACAACACCAAGGACAUGGAGGCGAUUAAGCGUGCGGAGAACCAGUUGUGCAAGUUUGUGAGUUUUAUCCUCCGGAAGUCCUGCCAGACUCUCAUGUUGAAAUACUUGCUCCCCAUCGCCAUUGCUGUUCGGCUGGGCAAGUCUCCCCGGGACGUCUGCGUGGGCAUCAAGUUCUGCAAGAAUAAGGAAGCCUGGGCCGGCACAGGCCUGAUCCCCAAGGACCACAAGCAGGAACCAGCUCUCUGGCACCAGCAGCACCAUCAAGACAGCCGCUUAACGGGGGACCUGCUUGACCGGAAGGUGUCACCCCGUUUCAUCUGCAGCACCUGUCAAGUCAUCAUGACGAAGCUUAAAGAGCUGGUUGGGGACAAUUCUGACGAUAUGAAUGAGAUUAAGAAGGCAGAGAAGCAGGUGUGCAGCUCUGUGAGCUUCUAUCUCCGGUGGGCCUGCGAGAAACUCAUAAAGAAGUUCUUCCUCCCCAUCGCCAGAGACUUCUUAAGCGGCAAGAAUCCCCGGCAGGUCUGCGAGGACAUCAAGAUCUGCAAGCCUAAGAAAGGCCCUGAGGGACAUGGUUCAGAGGACGGGAGUGGACAUAGGGAGCCCAGGCUGCUCACUCUAGCCCAAAUACAGCACCAGGAUGCCGGGGAGAAGAUCCUGGAGUCUGAAUCUGCCCUUGAGAAGAGGACUCUGGAGGAAGAGUGGUCCCAGCCUGCCAAAAGGUCCCUUCGGAGAUACUGAUCCUGCUCAGAAGCUUCAGCGGUUCUGUCCAUGCACCCCCUCCCCCCCCCGAUCUGCCAACACCCCCACUCCAACUUGCAGCCCCUCCCCCUGGCUUUUCCAGAGAAUAAAAUGUCAUGAACGCACUGGGCUUCAGUGAUGGAUGUGGAGGGAGGAAACCUAAUGCUUUGGCAGGGCUGAAGCAGUGUCCACAGGUGCACCCGCCAGGGCAGGGCAUCAUCAUCCCUGCUGCCCCGAAGCCCUGCCCACCGCCUCUUUGGGUCCAUUCCCUUUGUCCGAGCUGCCAGGGUGGCCCUGCCCUGGGGGAGCAGGCAGGGCUAGGGCAACAACGGACAGGCUGGCAGGGCGGACACAGGUCAAGGCGCGUGCUCUUCCUGGAUCUCUCAUACCAUCCCCAGGAGGCAGGUCUUCUCAGAUCCAUUUUUACAGGCGGGGGAAACUGAGGUCUGGCAAGU
RNAcentral lists this long non-coding RNA (1635 nucleotides) under Ornithorhynchus anatinus (platypus). Its description in RNAcentral is "lncRNA (ENSOANG00000048786.1)". Lineage: Eukaryota; Metazoa; Chordata; Mammalia; Monotremata; Ornithorhynchidae. The record is from RNAcentral.